UAUUUACAUGUCUCUCUAACAUUUGACACUGUACUAUAGUACCAAAUUAAAUUUCAUUUUUUUUCCGUUGAAAAAAUGGCUCAAAACGAUGAAGGAAGUAAUAGCAAGGAACAAGAUCGUUUGUUGCCUAUAGCCAACGUUGGUCGAAUAAUGAAACAAACUUUACCCCCAAAUGCAAAAAUCUCAAAAGAAGCAAAAGAAACAAUGCAAGAAUGUGUAUCUGAGUUUAUCGGAUUUGUGACCGGUGAAGCAUCGGAGAAGUGCCGGAAAGAACGCCGGAAAACGGUGAACGGCGACGACGUUUGUUGGGCUUUGGGAACUUUAGGGUUUGAUGAUUAUGGUGGUACAAUGAAGAGGUAUUUGCAUAGAUAUAGAGAGAGUGAAAGUGAGAAAGUAAAUCAAGAAAGAAUUGACAAUCAUAGUGAAGAAUUGGAAGAACGUCCAAUAGGAGGAUCUCAGCCAAGAAACUAUAAUCUCGAUUAAUUAGGAAUAAAAAUUAAUUAAUUAUCUCAUGUUUUUGUUUCUCUUGAUUUUAAAUCUCCUUUUUAUAAUUGUUUCUUCCAUAAUUUCUAAUUACAAAGGUUUGUAUUUUUUCGAAUGGAAUCAUGUUGAAUUAAAACAUUCAUCUCAUAGUCAAGUUGAUUGAAUGAUUUCUCUAUAAAAAUUAAAUUUGACCUUUUUUUUGGGUAUGGAUUCACUUGAUAUUAUACUGCAGGUUUGAAUUAAGCACCUGCGGUACUAUGAAUUGAAGCAGACCAGGUAAGUAGAAACAGUAAUAGAUUAAAGCAGUAUUAAGUACUCUCUCUUUUUUUUUUUUUUUUGGGGGGUCUAGAAUCUAUCUGUUUCCAUGAAAAUUUGCAACUGUAUGGUUACGUUUGAUAUGAAGAAAAAUAUUAUCGAAAAACAUUUUCAGCAAAAUACUUUUUAGAAGAUAUUUUGUCACACUGUUCAACACUCUAUAAAAGUUAGAAAUUACUUCAAUGAACUAUUGGAGAAAAACAUCAGGGGAGAAAGUCAUUUUACCUCUUUUGACGGAAAAUAUUUUUCAAGAAAGUGUAUUUUUUUGCUGUUUGGUUGUCAGAAAAUGACUUGUUUUGUGAAAAAAUUGUCGAAAAAUGUUUUCCAUGGCACCAAAUAAUACACCCUAUGUACAUAGGCUAUAUACUACUAAUUUGGAAAUAUAAACAAGAUUAUAUGGUUCAUGCCAUUAGCUAGAAGAGUUGAUGAGUACUGAUUGGUCUUUAAUUUAGGCUAGCUUUCCCUUUCUUUAGGGUUUGUUUGGUUUGAAGUAGGAAUUAGGAAAGGAAAAAUGGAACAGAAGAUGCUGAGCUAGAGCAAAAUAUACUACUAUUAUCUUAUUCAGUGUUUCUAUUCUCGUUCCUUUCAUUCCAAUCCUAAUUAAUCAAAACGUUAAUUUCACCAAUGAGUAUAUAUACUGAAACAAACAUCAAAGAUUGGUCCAGAAAUUUGAAAGGUCAUUAUCCAAAAUUGCCUCAAGGAGUGGUUAAGUAUAAUCCUCCAAAAAUUGAUUUCAUCUAUACAAAAUAGUUGAAGGAAUUAAAUGGACUUGGCUAACAUUAGACUUAGAUAAUGAUCAUUGGAGAUAUAAAGCUUAAUUUAGUCAAUGAACUGUAUGGACCCUUGUUAGUGACUCAGAUACUAAUCGGAGAAUUCAAAUAUCAACAUUUAGGGUAAGCUUUGAAUGGAUCCAAAGAAAAGAAAAUAGAAGUUGAUAGAUGAGACUAAUUACUUUGUUUUUAGUCUUCUUUCCUUUGAUUUCUAUUCCUUGUAGAAGUUAUUAGACGAGGAUAUUUUUUUCUUUCUUUUUUUUCUAAACUUUUCCCAGAUUGCAUGGGAGUGUUGUAUUAGCAAAAAUAAGGAGUUUGUUGAUACAUCACGAGGGUAGAACACACCCUACAAAAAAUGAGGCGUAGGCAAUUAUAAAUAGAUCGCCCUCUCUAAAUAACAAAAUGCAAAACUAGCUAAUAAAAAAGUUGGCCUUGUCAUAUUUAUUCCUUAUGCAAGAAACCUAAUCUUUGUCCAGCAAAAAGGGGUCUUUCGCCUGACUAGGCAGCUGAUGGUUGGAAUAGAAAAAAGCAGGCUGAUGGUUGUUCACUGCCAUUUUAGCCAAACAAUCCGCUAAUUGAUUCGCCUCUCUAUAGCAGUGACUAAUCUGGAUGUUGGAGGUGUUGAUAGCUGAUAAUAGGUUAAAUCUAGGAUGAAGAGCCUAGGUGAUGCCUUAAACAGUUGUGAUUGGAACCAUUUUGGAGCAAGAAAGACCCCUCAGAGCUGAGUACGCUUGAAGACGAGGAACAAAAGUGAUGAAACACAGAACUGGACAUGCGCACCCAGGUGCGCGACCGCGCUACUUUUAGCGCGUCCAUGACAUAAUCUCAGCCAAUUAGCGCGGCCAGGUGCGCGGUCGUGCUAGUCCAAAAUCCGGGAAGAGUUAUUUAGGGGCAGAAUU
Nicotiana tabacum (common tobacco) is the source of this 2467-nucleotide non-coding RNA. NCBI's taxonomy places the organism in Eukaryota, Viridiplantae, Streptophyta, Magnoliopsida, Solanales, Solanaceae. The record is from RefSeq and is a predicted model, not a curated record.